GAUGAAGAACGUAGCGAAAUGCGAUAAGUAAUGUGAAUUGCAGAAUUCAGUGAAUCAUCGAAUCUUUGAACGCACAUUGCGCCCCUUGGUAUUCCGAGGGGCAUGCCUGUUCGAGCGUCAUUACACCACUCAAGCUAUGCUUGGUAUUGGGCGUUGUCCUUAGUUGGGCGCGCCUUAAAGACCUCGGCGAGGCCACUCCGGCUUUAGGCGUAGUAGAAUUUAUUCGAACGUCUGUCAAAGGAGAGGAACUCUGCCGACUGAAACCUUUAUUUUUCUAGGUUGACCUCGGAUCAGGUAGGGAUACCCGCUGAACUUAAGCAUAUCAAUAAGCGGAGGA
This 337-nucleotide unclassified non-coding RNA is filed under the name soil metagenome. RNAcentral describes it as "partial contains 5.8S ribosomal RNA, internal transcribed spacer 2, and large subunit ribosomal RNA". The stretch from base 1 to 120 matches the Rfam family "5.8S ribosomal RNA", at positions 35 to 154 of the family's 154-position model. The record is from RNAcentral.